RNAcentral lists this long non-coding RNA (210 nucleotides) under Mytilus galloprovincialis (Mediterranean mussel). Lineage: Eukaryota; Metazoa; Mollusca; Bivalvia; Mytilida; Mytilidae. The record is from RNAcentral.
GGGGGGAGGGCAGAUUUUUUUUUACAAAUGACCAAUUCUUUUCUUUAUACCAUUUAGUUAUAUCUUUCUUGUAAUCAUCUAAAAUUUUGAAUAACUUCUUGUAAUUUCCUUUUUAGUGGUCAAUUAUCCCUUUGGCAUGACAAUUUAUUACAAAAUCUGAACUUGACACUGUACAUAAAAACUUUUAAUGAUAUUUACUUACACAAUAAC